Molecule: ribosomal RNA, 486 nt
Filed under: uncultured bacterium
Lineage: Bacteria
Description: bacterial SSU rRNA
Rfam family: Bacterial small subunit ribosomal RNA
Source: RNAcentral
CGCUGGCGGUAUGCUUAACACAUGCAAGUCGAACGGUAGCAGAAGAGAGCUUGCUCUCUUGCUGACGAGUGGCGGACGGGUGAGUAAUGCUUGGGAAUCUGCCUAGUAGUGGGGGACAACACGAGGAAACUCGUGCUAAUACCGCAUACGUCCUACGGGAGAAAGUGGGGGAUCUUCGGACCUCACGCUAUUAGAUGAGCCCAAGUCGGAUUAGCUUGUUGGUGAGGUAACGGCUCACCAAGGCGACGAUCCGUAGCUGGUUUGAGAGGAUGACCAGCCACACUGGGACUGAGACACGGCCCAGACUCCUACGGGAGGCAGCAGUGGGGAAUAUUGGACAAUGGGCGAAAGCCUGAUCCAGCAAUACCGCGUGUGUGAAGAAGGCCUGCGGGUUGUAAAGNACUUUCAAUUGUGAAGAAAAGCUUAGGGCGUAAUACCUCUGAGUCUUGACGUUAACUUUAGUAAGAAGCACCGGCUAACUCCGUG